UAGGGAAUCUUCGGCAAUGGGGGCAACCCUGACCGAGCAACGCCGCGUGAGUGAAGAAGGUUUUCGGAUCGUAAAGCUCUGUUGUAAGUCAAGAACGGGUGUGAGAGUGGAAAGUUCACACUGUGACGGUAGCUUACCAGAAAGGGACGGCUAACUACGUGCCAGCAGCCGCGGUAAUACGUAGGUCCCGAGCGUUGUCCGGAUUUAUUGGGCGUAAAGCGAGCGCAGGCGGUUUGAUAAGUCUGAAGUUAAAGGCUGUGGCUCAACCAUAGUUCGCUUUGGAAGCUGUCAAACUUGAGUGCAGAAGGGGAGAGUGGAAUUCCAUGUGUAGCGGUGAAAUGCGUAGAUAUAUGGAGGAACACCGGUGGCGAAAGCGGCUCUCUGGUCUGUAACUGACGCUGAGGCUCGAAAGCGUGGGGAGCGAACAGGAUUAGAUACCCUGGUAGUCCACGCCGUAAACGAUGAGUGCUAGGUGUUGGAUCCUUUCCGGGAUUCAGUGCCGCAGCUAACGCAUUAAGCACUCCGCCUGGGGAGUACGACCGCAAGGUUGAAAC
RNAcentral lists this ribosomal RNA (554 nucleotides) under uncultured bacterium. Its description in RNAcentral is "partial 16S ribosomal RNA". It matches the Rfam family "Bacterial small subunit ribosomal RNA", at positions 355 to 900 of the family's 1533-position model. The record is from RNAcentral.